GACGUAGGGCGCGAGCGUUGUCCGGAUUUAUUGGGCGUAAAGAGCUCGUAGGCGGCUUGUCGCGUCAACUGUGAAAACCCGUGGCUCAACCAUGUGGUCUGCAGUCGAUACGGGCAGGCUAGAAUUCGGUAGGGGAGACUGGAAUUCCUGGUGUAGCGGUGAAAUGCGCAGAUAUCAGGAGGAACACCGGUGGCGAAGGCGGGUCUCUGGGCCGAUAUUGACGCUGAGGAGCGAAAGCGUGGGGAGCGGACAGG
Molecule: ribosomal RNA, 254 nt
Filed under: uncultured bacterium
Lineage: Bacteria
Description: partial 16S ribosomal RNA
Rfam family: Bacterial small subunit ribosomal RNA
Source: RNAcentral